Molecule: ribosomal RNA, 204 nt
Filed under: uncultured bacterium
Lineage: Bacteria
Description: partial 16S ribosomal RNA
Rfam family: Bacterial small subunit ribosomal RNA
Source: RNAcentral
ACGCUCGACACCUACGGGAGGCGGCAGUUGGGAAUAUUGGACAAUGGAGGAAACUCUGAUCCAGUGACGCCGCGUGAAGGAAGAAGGUCUUCGGAUUGUAAACUUAUUUUGUCAGGGAAGAAAAAAUGACUGUACCUGAAGAAAAAGCACCGGCUAACUACGCGCCAGCAGCCGCGGUAAGUCUGAGCGGGCGUGGCGAAGGCG